This 454-nucleotide ribosomal RNA is filed under the name uncultured bacterium. RNAcentral describes it as "bacterial SSU rRNA". It matches the Rfam family "Bacterial small subunit ribosomal RNA", at positions 340 to 786 of the family's 1533-position model. The record is from RNAcentral.
UACGGAAGGCAGCAGUGGGGAAUAUUGCACAAUGGGCGCAAGCCUGAUGCAGCCAUGCCGCGUGUAUGAAGAAGGCCUUCGGGUUGUAAAGUACUUUCAGUCGUGAGGAAGGUGUUAAGGUUAAUAACCUUAGCAAUUGACGUUAGCGACAGAAGAAGCACCGGCUAACUCCGUGCCAGCAGCCGCGGUAAUACGGAGGGUGCGAGCGUUAAUCGGAAAUUACUGGGCGUAAAGGGCACGCAGGCGGUUAAUUAAGUUGGAUGUGAAAUCCCCGGGCUUAACCUGGGAAUGGCAUUCAAGCUGGUUAGCUAGAGUCUUGUAGAGGGGGUAGAAUUCCAUGUGUAGCGGUGAAAUGCGUAGAGAUGUGGAGGAAUACCGGGUGGCGAAGGCGGCCCCUGGGACAAAGACUGACGCUCAUGUGCGAAAGCGUGGGGAGCAAACAGGAUUAGAUACC